UUUCCUUCUAUAACCAAGCUUAAAGUUCACCAACAAUUAAGACCAAAUAAAUCCAUCAACACAUUAAUAAAAGAAUUUCAAGGGAAUAAUCUAAAAAAAUAAAAUCUUGUAUAAAUCUUACUCACUUAGAAACAAUUAUUCCUUCUACAAACCUUAGACAUAUACUACAAGCAUACAAAAUUAGAAACAAACCCACUAGAAGCCAAUUCGACUGCAACAUACAAAUUCCAAAUGAAAAUUCAUUUAAAACUAUUUAGAGUCGACUAAGGAACAUAUACAAAGAGGAACAAUGUCAUGGUAACUGGAAGUAUAAACAAUCACUCUUGCAAUAAGUUACCUAUUACUUUUAGUUAAGCAAGGGAUAUGUGAACUCUUCUAUUAUUUCUUCUUCUGUUGGUAGCUUUUGAGCCUCAAACAUUAACUCAACCUUAGGUCUUCCGAUAACCUGCUCAAAAAUAGAAGAGAACAUACAAAAAGUNUAUAUUGAACUAGAAAAUUGGAACACAUGCUCUUGAUCAUAUAUAUUGAAUUUUAUUUAUUAAGAUCAAGCCCAAUAACUACUAAUAGGGAAACACAACUAAACCAACCUAGUUUAGAUGACUAAGCUUCUUCAAUGCAUGUAUGCUCUCCCUUGAAAUAGCUCCUUGGCCAUCUUAGUUAUGAACCCCGUUUGAAAUAUUUUCUGAUCCCUUGCUAUGCUGCAUAUUGUCAACAAAAUAUAUUUAAUAGAUAUAACUGCAUAAAUUUAGUGUACUCUAUUGAAAUGAAUCAACUAUCAAAUGCAGUACUACCAAAAUCAAUCAGCUCAAUAGCACUAGAUAUGUGAAAGUGAAAGGACAAGAAUUGAUUUUCAUCAGCUCAAUCAGUUAAUUUUUACUUAAAUAUAUUACAGUGAAUCCACAAAAGUCGUUAUUUUUGCGUCUGAAAAUGCGAAGUACCCUGCAUUCUGGCUUCAGGUCAGGUGUUGACAAGGCGUAGUUUGUGCAUAUCUAAAGAUGGUAAAGGACAAGAAACAUGUUAAAGUAAGCAGACACGACAAAGAUACAUGACUUCCAGAACAAAGUUAUAUGAUUAUUGUAUCACAAUAAAAACCAUAUCACAUGAAAAUGAACCAUGAUGCAGAAUCAACCAAAAGAAAACUUCCGCAUGAAAACUUUGCAAGAUUUGAGUUUGCAGGAUUUGAUUUCAAUAUUGAUAUGCUACAACUAACAAUUUGAUAAAAUGAGUGGAAGAAAUACUGAUAUAAACAGCGUUUGAAACUCACUUUUUCAAGUAACAGAUCCAACAAAAUGUGUUACAUGUAACUCGAUUAUACUAAUAUUUGCAACUAUGCAUAAAGGGAAAUGCAGUAAAGGAACCAAAAAUCUCCACUACCACUAACCAGUUUUCUAAUUUAAUUUACUAGUUCAACAUAUACAUAAUUUGGCCAAUUAUUAAAGUAACAAGAGAGUACAUUCAAAGGGAAACCAUUACCCACAGGCCACAGUAACUUUCACAAUCAUUCCAGGCAAAACAAAAGAAAAACAAGAAAUGGAAAACUGAGAUAAAGAGAAUAGGUAGAAUUAUAUGACAACUGAUUAUUUUGAUAUAAACUAGAAUUAUAUGACAACUGAUUAUGCUAAAAGAUCCAGUAACAAAAUGGCUAACAAGGCAACAUCUGAAUAAGUGUUAGUCAAACUGAAAACAUACCUUGUGUACAUUGUACAAUCAAGGANNN
This 1717-nucleotide long non-coding RNA is filed under the name Trifolium pratense (red clover). Its description in RNAcentral is "long non-coding RNA (TPRA_LNC004201)". The record is from RNAcentral. Lineage: Eukaryota; Viridiplantae; Streptophyta; Magnoliopsida; Fabales; Fabaceae.